This 297-nucleotide long non-coding RNA is filed under the name Gopherus evgoodei (Goodes thornscrub tortoise). RNAcentral's name for it is "lncRNA (ENSGEVG00005003757.1)". The record is from RNAcentral. Lineage: Eukaryota; Metazoa; Chordata; Testudines; Testudinidae.
GAGGGAGGAGUGUGUUUCCUGGCGGAGCGAUAUUUGUUUACAGGAUGAGAUCUAUACUGUAAGUAAAGUAGGACCGAGCAAAGGCAGUUCUGUAAUAAAUUAGUUUAAAUUGCAUCAUCGACGCCCCCCCAAAAGGGAAAACUUGUGCCCAGUCCGGCCAGGUCUGUGCUCCCGGAUCCUGCAUGCACUUGUUGCAGAUUUACACCAGGUUCCAAGAGGACAUUGUGGUUGACAUGGUUUAAACAGCAGAACUGAUGGGCAACUGGUGUUUUUAAAUUGAAACAUCAUGGCUAAUAU